GGAUGCCAACCGCAGUUAAACCUCGAAGACGAAGACCACUUAUCGGUUUCCGGUUCACGGAGGACAUACUUCUUUUUCUCCCUCAAAUGCGGAAAGGCCCAUGAAUAGGAGAUUUGAUGUGUAACGUAAUAAGCAAUACCGUAUUUCAAAGAACAGCGCGCAUAGACUUUUUAUUUAUCCGCCAACCAAUAACAUCUGCGUAAACGCAAGUAAACAAUGACCAAUAACAAUUUCCACGUUAGCAUUUUUGUUGAUAUUUAGACUUUUAUUAACAUCCUGGAACUCAAAACUGCACAACAUCACUCCAUGUAGAAUUUAAAUCGCGUUGGAGUCCGAAUUUACUUGAUAGAUGUUAUCUAGGUAACGUUAGCUAACUGUAUGGAUUUUCACACUCAAAUAGCCUCCAUCAUGGAGCUGCUAGCGAAUUCAGCCGUGGCAGAGAUCUGUAAAUUCGUAGACGACAACUAUGCAGUGUUUAGUUUGGAAAUAACUCAAAGCCAGAAAGAAAACAGGGGAUUAUGGAGGAAAUUACAGAUACUGGAACUGGUGGCACGAGAGCGCGUCCUCACCAGUCGUCCCACAAGAUCUUCGACCGAUACAGAGGAAUGGCAAGAGGUGAAGGACAUCUCACUUGAGGCCACAGGGGCUUUGGGAAACCAGCGUGACACAGCUGAGGGGAGUGGAACCUCAACCCAGCAUGUUAUUGUGAUAGAGGGGUGCUUGUGAGACUUCCCAGCGACAUUGUUAUCCAAUUCAAAUCAUGUACAGACUGCAGGUCCUGGGGUCAAGCAGGAGAGGACCUAAGACACAACAGAGACAUCCAGACUAGAGCAGCGGCUGGAGUGAUGCCCCCUGUAGCCAUGGAGGACCUCCCCACCGUCACCAUGCCCCAGACCAGGACCCAACGCAACAUCAGUGACGUCAGUGGAACGCCGAACACCGUCCUCAUGUCAGAGACGUACACCAAGACUUUAACUGUAACACAAAGGCUCUUACACACAGGAUCUUCCCACAGAAUAUUUACAGGUAUUUCAGCAGAGCCAGAGGACGGUUAAUUCCUGUGGGGAUAGUGAUGCAUUAGACAUUGGCGGCCAUUAUCUGUCUUGUUUUUACGCUACAGAGAUGGACCCUGGCAACAUAUCCUUGGAUUUAGACACAGACUGAUCUGUCUAGAGGGAACUGGAACCUGUACAGUAGUAGUGUAUACUCUGAAGGGUGCCUAGAUAGGAAAGGGCAGGGAAAGCGGAAGGCGACAUUCCUCCUACAUGGAAUGCAGAGAUUUCUUAGAUUACAGGGAAAGUUUAGAGACAAAUCCAAAUAUUCACGACCCACUCCCCUUUCCACAUGUUCAGGGAUUGCGACCCAGUUUCCUCAUCGAUGGGGCCUUCCGAUUCAAACGUCCUUUUCGAUCAGGUAUUGAACUCAAAGGGCCAAAUCGCGGGGAUGGGGAGCAAAAUCAGUCAAUAGUAAAGAGAAAUGGUUCCUCUGCAUGUUCUGUAACAAAGGUUUCAGCUGCCCCCAGAAGGUGGAGAUCCACCAGAGGGUGGAUUCUCUCGACAGCACCAGCUGAACAUGCACAUGAAGAUCCACAGGGGAGAGAAGCCAUUUGCCUGUACACACUGCAGGAAGAGGUUCUCAGAGAAGAGCUACCUAAGGACACACCAGCAGAAAACAAUCCCAUUCUAGAACAUAGAAAGAAACCAUUCCACUCGAUAGCUUCUCACAUUUAGAUCAAACCCUGCAUUAAAGACAAAGAUGAAUUGUGAUUGUUGUCAGCAGAAAACAUCCACAGAUGCAUUUGGAAUUAUGAGAGUAAAAUAUUUCAGUGUUGAAUAUUCCUGAGUAAAAUAUUGCAUCCAGACACUGUGUGAUAUAUAAGACAUACAGUGCCUUCAGAAAGUAUUCACACCCCUUGACUUUUUCCACAUUUUGUUGUUACAGCCUGAUUUUAA
This is a long non-coding RNA of Salvelinus sp. IW2-2015, 1952 nucleotides long. RefSeq lists it as uncharacterized. Lineage: Eukaryota; Metazoa; Chordata; Actinopteri; Salmoniformes; Salmonidae. The record is from RefSeq and is a predicted model, not a curated record.